GACGAACGCUGGCGGCGCGCCUAACACAUGCAAGUCGAACGAGCGAGAGAGAGCUUGCUUUCUCGAGCGAGUGGCGAACGGGUGAGUAACGCGUGAGGAACCUGCCUCAAAGAGGGGGACAACAGUUGGAAACGACUGCUAAUACCGCAUAAGCCCACGGCUCGGCAUCGAGCAGAGGGAAAAGGAGCAAUCCGCUUUGAGAUGGCCUCGCGUCCGAUUAGCUAGUUGGUGAGGUAAUGGCCCACCAAGGCAACGAUCGGUAGCCGGACUGAGAGGUUGAACGGCCACAUUGGGACUGAGACACGGCCCAGACUCCUACGGGAGGCAGCAGUGGGGAAUAUUGCACAAUGGGGGAAACCCUGAUGCAGCGACGCCGCGUGGAGGAAGAAGGUCUUCGGAUUGUAAACUCCUGUUGUUGAGGAAGAUAAUGACGGUACUCGACAAGGAAGUGACGG
This 455-nucleotide ribosomal RNA is filed under the name uncultured bacterium. RNAcentral's name for it is "bacterial SSU rRNA". It matches the Rfam family "Bacterial small subunit ribosomal RNA", at positions 28 to 496 of the family's 1533-position model. The record is from RNAcentral.